Camelus dromedarius (Arabian camel) is the source of this 3310-nucleotide long non-coding RNA. RefSeq lists it as uncharacterized. NCBI's taxonomy places the organism in Eukaryota, Metazoa, Chordata, Mammalia, Artiodactyla, Camelidae. The transcript is spliced from 5 exons. The record is from RefSeq and is a predicted model, not a curated record.
AGAAACGCGCGUCCUGGGCGCACCUGUGUGUCCUCCAGGGCAACGCUGGCUUUGGCAGUGAUAAGACUAGGGGCUCUAGGUCAGCGAUCACCCGGAUUGCGACUUCCGGCUGCUAAAUCAGGCGAGCGGGCGCGGCGGCCGCCAAUCAGCUGACAAGUAGGACUGGAGGGGGCAGUGGACAUCCAGUAGGUGCUGAGGAAGGGUCCCGAUGCACCAGCAGUAGGAGCUGGGCGUGACUGCAGACGGAGACUGAGAGAGGCAAAGGGCCGACAGAGCCUUGGGCUUCUACAGACAUCAUCUCACUUCAUGCUCCCGGAAUUCCCAUCGCAGAGGUGAAGGCACGGAACCUCCCUGAGACUGGGAGACUCACCCAGAGUCGCUUUACUUCAAAAACGAUACAAUGCUCAUCAAAGGUUACUAUGCCAUGUAUUUUUAACGUUGUAAUUCCAGCAUCUAGUUCAGGAGAGGCAUCGAAGAUUUAGUGGAUUGGGAUUUUUUUUUCUUUUUUGCUAAGGAAAGGGCUUGGCGACUAUAAGUGACUUGCCCAAGGGCACACAGGUGAGUGGUAUGGCUGUCCUGCUCCAGAACCAGAGUCAGUACACCCUGCUCAAAGCUCUGCAGACAACACCAGGCGGCUUGAUUUGCUGUAAGCCUCUUAAAACCCAUCCUGAGCAAUUGGUACAGCCUUCGCACACCCCAGUAUUGUUAGAGCAGGCAGGAAGCUGGGUGCCGCCCGCACAAUAGCUUCUCUUUCAUGCCCUCUGAAAGGAGCCCAGAACACUCCAGUCAGACAGCGAGGGAAGGGUGCAGGAGGAAGCCUUCUCUCAGUCAGGCCAGGCCUUGCAGCGCCUCCCCUGUUUCGAUGCGCAGUUUCAAGGUUUCACUUUGGCCAACGCGGUUGCUGUGGGGACGCAGCAACAAAUAUUGGGAGGCUGGUAACCCCUCCCCCAGCCCUCCCCCCAAUCAAGCCUAGUAAAGAAUGUUUGGGGCGAAGCCCCAGCCCAUCAGGCUGCUGUAUGCAGCUCAAUGCAGCCUUUGUGACCGGCCUCCUGGCCUGCCACCAGGCUCCAAAGAGAUGAUUGGACUCAGAUCUUUCUCAAUUGUGUUUGUGUUUCAGUUGUCCACAAGGAGGGGGCGGGGGGACGCUCUACAUAACUCUAAGGAAAUUAUACAGCCUGUGGCUGAUUGUCAAGACAAAAAUGAUGCCAAGUCUUGCUUUGCAAAUGGCAUUCAGGAGAGCCUCGCAGGAACAAGGCAAGUCAGCUCUCCCUGAGAGUGGGACGUGGGACGUGCGGGGAGCUCCCUGCUCUCCCCGGGUCCUCACCCUGCACAGCCAGAGACGCCUGUGCAGUCGCUCCCAGCUCGCAGAUGAGGAAGUCCAUGCUCACAGACGGACCACGAGCUGCCUCAGGUCAUCACGCUAGGUAGUGAGGCUGCUGAGGCUGACAUGUCCCAUCAUUGUGAAGUUUAUUAGUAUUUCGGUAAAAUGUCCUAGAUUUCUGUUGCCAUGGCGGGCGACUUUUCAGAGCCUCUCACCUCGUGCAGAGCCGAGUCAGUCUUGAAAGAAAACGAAUACAGUGAACCAGAGAAAUUAAGCCUCAGCUGGGAGUUAAUUUUCUUGGUUCACGGGAACUUGGUAUGCUUUCUUAUCACUGCAGGCCAGGCGUUUGCGUGAUCUUUCCAGAAUGUGCCAGCCCGCGGAUUACCAUCUGGCUCCAGUUCUGUUUUGGGGGCAAGGAGGUGGGGAAGGAAACUUGACUUAACAGCAGGUGUUACUUUGAGGGCUAGAAAGCUACCAUUGUCUCCUCUGCAAUAAAUGGCCUGGUUUUCACCUGCCAGCAAGGCGCAAAUUCAGCCCCCAUUAAAGUACCAAGUCAUUACUUCAUUAAUUUAGUAAGUCUUUAUUAAAUGCCUACUGAGGGUCAGGCACUGGGCUGGGUACGGGGGACAGAGAAAUGAAUAAUGUUUGUUUAACAAGGAUUGAUUGAAUGUCUGCUCUGUGCUAGGUGCGGUGUUAGGCCCUGGGGACCCUACUCUUUUUGUCUCCUCAGGGAGCUGUUCGUGGAUAAGGCGAGUAAACAGCCACUGGACGCGGGAAAGAUGACUUGUUCACCUGUCAGUACAGGAUGCGAGGGGAAGGACCAGAAAGGGCAGGUUCACCUCCACCCAUGACUCAGUGUAAGAGGCUGAUGGAUUGACCUCAAUGACCCAUGGAGAAAGGUCAUCAGGGAGUUUGUUGGCAAGUAGCAUCACUGGAACUCGAACCAUCUCGUCUUCCCCAGAGCCAAGCCCUUGCUUUGCCACCACACUAGCCUCCUGUCCCACUCCCCAGGGAGGGUCUGUGGCACCCUUCUGAACCCAGACAAGUGACUGGGUCAUGGCUGCCUGCGCAGAGGGGCCUCCCUUCCUGCCCAGCUCCACCUGGACCCAACUCCAGAAGCCACCUGUGUUGUUCUACUGAUAACAGUGUUUGCCCUUCCAAAGCCAGGGCUAUAAACGGCGGCUUUCAAAGUCACUGCGGCAGAAAUGUCAACAUGAGGGGAGGCCAGUCAUGCUUUCUGAAGUGGAAUGUCACCUCUGGGCUGCCUCAAAGGCUGCCAGAAAGAUCUUCGAAGUCCAGGAGCUGGGAGUCUAGACUGGCUUCUACCGUAAAUCUGCUGGGCUGCUUUGGGCAUGUUGCCUACUCUCUCUGGGCCUUGUUUGUCAUCAGUGUAAGGUGAGGGUUGGACUUGAAGACUUUAAUGGGCACUUCUGUCCCUAAAAUGUUUAAUGUCCCCUGCUCUGGAUCCUGGGAGGGGGGAGUUGGGGGGGGCAACACCCGAAUUCCCUGCAGAAUGACUGUGAAAUUCUUCAUGUAACAACCUUCAGAGCAAAACCACCCCCUAAACCUGGAUCUGGCUUUUUUUCAAAACCUCCAACAAUGUCGCCAUUGAAGCAGGAAAGCUACUCAUUAAUAUCUUGUAAAAAGCGAUUUUGUGAUUUUCUUAAUGUAUGAAAGAAAGAAAAAAGCCCCCUGCUCCCGACGCUGGGCCCAGAGCCCCCAGAACAGAAACCACGGUCAGACCGCUAGGAUGCUCCGUCUCUCAGGUGUUUGGACGAAUCGCCCACACUUGAGAACACAAGGCGAUUUUCUUAACUUUUAAAAUGUUUUCUCCUCCCCCCGACCCUUUUCUGGGGUUUUCACCCUUGCUUGUAACUUAAACCACGAAUAAAGCUUUAAGCCUCUGGCUGUGAGGAGCGGAGCAGUGGCUGCCAAGAACAGCGUGGUUCACGUGGGCUCUUUUCUGCGGCUCUGGAAAGCAGCUCUGCA